GAUGGACGCUGGCGGCGUCCCUAAUACAUGCAAGUCGAGCGAACGGACGAGAAGCUUGCUUCUCUGAUGUUAGCGGCGGACGGGUGAGUAACACGUGGAUAACCUACCUAUAAGACUGGGAUAACUUCGGGAAACCGGAGCUAAUACCGGAUGAUAUUUUGAACCGCAUGGUUCAAAAGUGAAAGACGGUCUUGCUGUCACUUAUAGAUGGAUCCGCGCUGCAUUAGCUAGUUGGUAAGGUAACGGCUUACCAAGGCAACGAUGCAUAGCCGACCUGAGAGGGUGAUCGGCCACACUGGAACUGAGACACGGUCCAGACUCCUACGGGAGGCAGCAGUAGGGAAUCUUCCGCAAUGGGCGAAAGCCUGACGGAGCAACGCCGAGUGAGUGAUGAAGGUCUUCGGAUCGUAAAACUCUGUUAUUAGGGAAGAACAUAUGUGUAAGUAACUGUGCACAUCUUGACGGUACCUAAUCAGAAAGCCACGGCUAACUACGUG
This 497-nucleotide ribosomal RNA is filed under the name uncultured bacterium. RNAcentral's name for it is "partial 16S ribosomal RNA". It matches the Rfam family "Bacterial small subunit ribosomal RNA", at positions 28 to 507 of the family's 1533-position model. The record is from RNAcentral.